This is a non-coding RNA of Conoideocrella luteorostrata, 99 nucleotides long. NCBI's taxonomy places the organism in Eukaryota, Fungi, Ascomycota, Sordariomycetes, Hypocreales, Clavicipitaceae. The record is from the annotation of a GenBank genome assembly.
GGUGAGAUGGCCGAGUUGGUUAUGGCGCCAGGUUAAGGUUAUCUUAACAAUAGUUUCCUGGUGGAGCAAUCCUCCUGGGUUCGAGUCCCAGUCUCAUCA